CAAGACGUAGCUUAACCAAAAGCAUUCAGCUUACACCUGAAAAAUGUCUGAUAACGCCAGAUCGUCUUGA
Molecule: transfer RNA, 70 nt
Filed under: Emberiza leucocephalos (Pine bunting)
Lineage: Eukaryota; Metazoa; Chordata; Aves; Passeriformes; Fringillidae
Description: tRNA-Val
Rfam family: tRNA
About the family: Transfer RNA (tRNA) molecules are approximately 80 nucleotides in length. Their secondary structure includes four short double-helical elements and three loops (D, anti-codon, and T loops).
Source: RNAcentral